Molecule: ribosomal RNA, 218 nt
Filed under: uncultured bacterium
Lineage: Bacteria
Description: partial 16S ribosomal RNA
Rfam family: Bacterial small subunit ribosomal RNA
Source: RNAcentral
ACGCUCGACACCUACGGGAGGCAGCAGUGAGGAAUAUUGGUCAAUGGGCGCUAGCCUGAACCAGCCAAGUAGCGUGAAGGAUGAAGGCUCUAUGGGUCGUAAACUUCUUUUAUAUAAGAAUAAAGUGCAGUAUGUAUACUGUUUUGUAUGUAUUAUAUGAAUAAGGAUCGGCUAACUCCGUGCUAGCAGCCGAGGUAAUCUGAGCGGGCUGGCAAGGC